CCUACGGGAGGCAGCAGUGAGGGAUAUUGGUCAAUGGGGGAAAGCCUGAACCAGCAACGCCGCGUGAGGGAAGACGGUUUUCGGAGUGUAAACCUGUGUCAGCAGGGAAGAAAAUGACGGUAGGAGAGUAUGAAGCAACGGCUAGCUACGUGACAGCAGCCGCGGUAAUACGUAGGGAGCAAGCGUUGUACGGAUUUACUGGGUGUAAUGGGUGCGUAGGCGGCCCGGCAAGUUAGGAGUGAAAUCCAUAGGCUUAACCUGUGAACUGCUUUUGAAACUGUAGGGCUUGAGUGAAGUAGAGGUAGGCGGAAUGCCUGGUGUAGCGGUGAAAUGCGUAGAGAUCAGGAGGAACACCAGUGGCGAAGGCGGCUUUCUGAGCUUUAACUGACGUUGAGGCACGAAAGCGUGGGUAGCAAACAGGAUUAGAUACCCGAGUAGUC
RNAcentral lists this ribosomal RNA (440 nucleotides) under uncultured bacterium. Its description in RNAcentral is "partial 16S ribosomal RNA". It matches the Rfam family "Bacterial small subunit ribosomal RNA", at positions 338 to 795 of the family's 1533-position model. The record is from RNAcentral.